This is a long non-coding RNA of Hemibagrus wyckioides, 517 nucleotides long. RefSeq lists it as uncharacterized. The record is from RefSeq and is a predicted model, not a curated record. The transcript has 3 exons. NCBI's taxonomy places the organism in Eukaryota, Metazoa, Chordata, Actinopteri, Siluriformes, Bagridae.
UCAAAUAGUGAAUAUCAGCACAUUAAUUUUGUGUGUGUGUCUGUGUGUGUAUAGGUCAAGGAGCUGCAUCAGCAGGCCAGUAGAGGAGUGACUGAGAGAACUAGAACUAUAGCAGAGAUCAAUGAGGAGCUUGAGAAAGUGAAGCAGGAGAUGGAUGAGAAGGGCAGCAGCAUGUCAGAUGGAGUUCCAGUAGUAAAGAUCCGGCAGAGUCUGACUAAGUUAAAGCAGGAGAUCCAGGAGAUGGAUGUGCGCAUGGGGGUUGUGGAACAAACACUGUUGCAGGCCAAACUCAAGGAAAAGAGCAACAUGACCAGAGACAUGCAUGCCACACACAUCACAGAGAUUACUACACACACCUACUCAUAACCACACACAGAAUACACACAAUACAGUGAGGGGAAAAAUUAUUUGAUCCCCUGUUGAUUUUGUACAUUUGCCCACUGACAAAGAAAUGAUGAGUCUGUAAUUUUAAUGGUAGGUUUAUCUGAACAGUGAGAGACAGAAUAACAACAAAAAA